GCAGCUGAGAGAGUUUACUAUUUAAUUUAGUCUACAUGUCAUGACACCAAUCUCUACUAUCAUCUAGGAAUCGAAGUCUACAUGAAUUGGUAUUCAGGAAUCACCCACUCCAUGUUUGAACACUAGGUCUCAAGCCAGGGCUAAAUGUGUAUGCUUGUUGACAAGCUUCAUUGAUGACCACGGUAUGCUUCUCUACAUCAACAAUCCGAUGGCUGACAGUGGAACCAUCAGUGGUACACAGAGUCUUCUGAUGUCUUUGGUCUGAGAAUGAUUGUUGUGGAAAAGCGACUGACAGGUUUAUCAUAUUGGUGAAGUUAUCGUGCUCAUCAAGGGAAAUUGUGCGCUCCAACCAGGUCCUCUCAUGUUAGACAUACAUAUUUCAUCUUUAGAAUACUGUUGGGAUUACCAAGCUACCCACUUCACCCAUGCAUGUUCCAUGCUGUAUGGCCAGUCAUUUCACUCAGUGUACAACAUGGAUGCACACCCUUUCUUGUGUGAACCAUCUUCCAGCAUAAAUGAAAAAAUAAUUCUACGAGAGACAAGGACCUGACACCAAUCUUAUCUGGCGUUAGCAGUUAUUGGUAUUAGUCAUAUCACUCAGUGUACAGCAUGUCUGCAUGCCCUAUCUUGUGUGAACCAUCUUCCAUCAUAAAUAAGAGAGCUAGUUUUCCGCAGACAAGGACAUGACACCAAUCUUGAAUUCAACAUCUACAAGGAAUAUCUGGGUCAUGUCACUAGGUGUACAGCAUGGAUGCGCACCCUCUCUUGUGUGAACCAUCUUCCAGCAUAAAUAAAAGAGGCAUUCUCCGAGAGACAAGGAUCUGACUCCAUCUACAUGGAAUGUCUGGCGUGAGCAGUUAUUGGUAUAAAGUCAUAUCACUCAGUGUACAACAUGGCUACAUCCCCUAUCUUGGGUGAAGUAUCUUCUUGCAUAAUUGAAACAGCCAGUCUACCAGAAACAAGGACAUGACACCAAUCUUGAUAUUAUCAUCUAAAAGGAGCGUGUGGCGUGAGCAGUUAUUGGUAUUAAGUCUUAACACUCAGUUUACAGUAUGGCUACAUCCCCUAUCUUGUGAGAACCAUCUACCAACAUAAAUGAAAGAGCUAGUCUACCAGAGUCAAGGACAUGACACACACCAAUCUUGAAAUCAUCUACAUGUACAUGGAAUGUCGGGUGUAAAGAUUUAUUGUUAUUAAGUCAAAUCACUCAGUGUACAGCAUGGAUACAUCUCUCAUCUUGUAUGAACCAUCUUCCAGCAUAAAUGAGAGAGCUAGUCUACCAGAGAAAAGGAUAUGACACCAAUCUUGAUAUUAUCAUCAGCAUGGAAUGUCUGUGACCAGUUAAUGGUAUUUAGUCAUAUCACUCAGUGUACAGCAUGGAUACAUCUCUCAUCUUGUGUGAACCAUCUUCCAGCAUAAAUGAGAGAGCUAGUCUACCAGAGAAAAGGAUAUGACACCAAUCUUGAUACUAUCAUCAGCAUGGAAUGUCGAAAGUGAGCAGUUAUUGGUAUUAGUCAUAUCACUCAAUGUACAACACGUCUACGUCCCCUAUCUUGUGUGAACCAUCUUCCAGCAUUUAAUAAGAGAGCUACAUGUAGUUUACCACAGACAACGACAUGACACCAAUCUUGUCGGGUGUGAGCAGUAUUGGUAUUUAGUCAUAUAACUCAGUGUACAACAUGGCUACAUUCUAUAUCUUGUGUGAACCAUCUUCCAGUAUGAAUAAGAGAGCUAGUCUACCAGAGAAAAGGAUAUGACACCAAUCUUGAAAUCAUCAUCUACAUGGAAUGUCUAGAUGAGUAUUGGUAUUUUGUCAUAUCACUCAAUGUACAACACGUCUACGUCCCCUAUCUUGUGUGAACCAUCUUCCAGCAUUUAAUAAGAGAGCUACAUGUAGUUUACCACAGACAAAGACAUGACACCAAUCUUGUCGGGUGUGAGCAGUAUUGGUAUUUAGUCAUAUAACUCAGUGUACAACAUGGCUACAUUCUAUAUCUUGUGUGAACCAUCUUCCAGUAUAAAUAAGAGAGCUAGUCUACCAGAGAAAAGGAUAUGACACCAAUCUUGAAAUCAUCAUCUACAUGGAAUGUCUAGAUGAGUAUUGGUAUUUUGUCAUAUCACUCAAUGUACAACACGUCUACGUCCCCUAUCUUGUGUGAACCAUCUUCCAGCAUUUAAUAAGAGAGCUACAUGUAGUUUACCACAGACAAAGACAUGACACCAAUCUUGUCGGGUGUGAGCAGUAUUGGUAUUUAGUCAUAUCACUCAGUGUACAACAUGGCUACAUUCCAUAUCUUGUGUGAACCAUCUUCCAGCAUAAAUGAGAGAGCUUUUUACCACAGACAAGGACAUGACACCAAUCUUGAAAUCAUCUACGGUACAUGGAAUGGAUAGUGUAAGCAGUUUUUGAUAUUUAGUCAUAUCACUCAGUGUACAGCAUGUCUACAUCCCCUAUCUUGUGUGAACCAUCUUCCAGCAUAAAUAAGAGAGCUAGUUUACCGCAGACAAGGACAUGACACCAAUCUUGAAAUCAUCAUCUAUGUGAAAUGUCUGGAUGAGUAUUGGUAUUUUGUCAUAGUUUCAAAAGCAAAUGGUCA
Molecule: long non-coding RNA, 2597 nt
Organism: Lytechinus pictus (painted urchin)
Lineage: Eukaryota; Metazoa; Echinodermata; Echinoidea; Temnopleuroida; Toxopneustidae
Exons: 16
Source: RefSeq, a predicted model, not a curated record